RNAcentral lists this ribosomal RNA (497 nucleotides) under uncultured bacterium. RNAcentral's name for it is "partial 16S ribosomal RNA". It matches the Rfam family "Bacterial small subunit ribosomal RNA", at positions 28 to 507 of the family's 1533-position model. The record is from RNAcentral.
GAUGAACGCUGGCGGCGUGCCUAAUACAUGCAAGUCGAGCGAACAGACGAGGAGCUUGCUCCCCUGUCGGUAGCGGCGGGCGGGUGUGUAACAAGUGGAUAAUCUCCCUAUAAAACUGGGAGAACUUCGGGAAACGGGCGCUAAUACCGAAUAAUACAUUAAACGAUAGGGUCCAAUAGUAAAAGCUGGUUUGGCAGUCAAUAACACACGAAUCCGCGCCGCAUUAGCUAGUUGGUAAGGUAACGGCUUACCAAGGGAACGAAGCGUAGCCGACCUGAGAGGGUGGUCGGCCACCCUGGAACUGAGACACGGUCCAGACUCCUACGGGAGGACGCAGUAGGGAAUCUUCCGCAAAGGAGGAAAGCCUGACGGAGCAACGCGGCGUGAGUGAUGAAGGUGUUCGGAUCGUAAAACUCUGUUAUUAGGAAAGAACAAAUGUGUAAGUAACUAUGCACGUCUUGACGGUACCUAAUCAGAAAGCCACGGCUAACUACGUG